GACAGAGGGUGCAAACGUUGUUCGGAAUUACUGGGCGUAAAGCGCGUGUAGGCUGCCCUGCAAGUCAGGUGUGAAAGCCCUGGGCUCAACCUAGGAAGUGCACUUGAAACUGCGGGGAUCGAGGGCUGGAGAGGGAAGCGGAAUUCUCGGUGUAGAGGUGAAAUUCGUAGAUAUCGUCAAGAACACCGAUAGCGAAGGCAGCUUACUAGGCUGUAACUGACGCUGAGGCACGAAAGUGUGGGGAUCAAACAGG
This 253-nucleotide ribosomal RNA is filed under the name uncultured prokaryote. Its description in RNAcentral is "partial 16S ribosomal RNA". It matches the Rfam family "Bacterial small subunit ribosomal RNA", at positions 524 to 776 of the family's 1533-position model. The record is from RNAcentral.